This is a long non-coding RNA of Eurytemora carolleeae, 336 nucleotides long. RefSeq lists it as uncharacterized. The record is from RefSeq and is a predicted model, not a curated record. The transcript is spliced from 2 exons. NCBI's taxonomy places the organism in Eukaryota, Metazoa, Arthropoda, Copepoda, Calanoida, Temoridae.
AGUCCCCCCAGCCCCUAAUGGGUUUGUCCUUCCUUCAAAUUGUACUCCAACACAUUAUGUUCAUUACCAUCACCAGGAACAGUGUCCACACUAUAGCAAACGAAAUUAAAUGUUUUUCGAACAUGAACAUAAACAAAAUCAAGUCAUGUUAUGAACACAUAAACAUAAAAGUGUCUAAAUGUGACAGUGUCAUGUCAACUUUAUGAAAUGUGACUUUUUCCAUUUUAUAUACUCGCAGCUUAUGUUUAUACAAAAAUGUUAAAUCUAGAAAAACGAAAUAUGUAUAGAUUCCAAAUUUUGCACUUUUAGAGAAGAAUAAAUCUAUUUAUCAUUUGA